RNAcentral lists this non-coding RNA (30 nucleotides) under Rattus norvegicus (Norway rat). The record is from RNAcentral. Lineage: Eukaryota; Metazoa; Chordata; Mammalia; Rodentia; Muridae.
UCUUCCUGAAUGAUGGGCAUUUCCUGACUA